GACGGAGGGUGCGAGCGUUAUUCGGAUUUAUUGGGCGUAAAGAGCAUGUAGGCGGUCAGCCAAGUCUGAUGUGAAAGCCCGGGGCUUAACCUCGGAAGGGCGUUGGAAACUGGUUGACUUGAGUUCGGGAGAGGGAAGCGGAAUUCCGGGUGUAGAGGUGAAAUUCGUAGAUAUCCGGAGGAACACCGGUGGCGAAGGCGGCUUCCUGGACCGAAACUGACGCUGAGAUGCGAAAGCGUGGGGAG
Molecule: ribosomal RNA, 245 nt
Filed under: uncultured bacterium
Lineage: Bacteria
Description: partial 16S ribosomal RNA
Rfam family: Bacterial small subunit ribosomal RNA
Source: RNAcentral